UACGUAGGGUGCAAGCGUUAAUCGGAAUUACUGGGCGUAAAGCGUGCGCAGGCGGUGCUGUAAGACAGGCGUGAAAUCCCCGGGCUCAACCUGGGAAUGGCGCUUGUGACUGCAGUACUGGAGUGCGGCAGAGGGGGAUGGAAUUCCGCGUGUAGCAGUGAAAUGCGUAGAUAUGCGGAGGAACACCGAUGGCGAAGGCAAUCCCCUGGGCCUGCACUGACGCUCAUGCACGAAAGCGUGGGGAGCAAACAGG
RNAcentral lists this ribosomal RNA (253 nucleotides) under uncultured bacterium. Its description in RNAcentral is "partial 16S ribosomal RNA". It matches the Rfam family "Bacterial small subunit ribosomal RNA", at positions 524 to 776 of the family's 1533-position model. The record is from RNAcentral.